UGGGGAUAGCUCAGCUGGCAGAGCAUGAGACUCUUAAUCUCAGGGCUGUGGGUUUGAGCCCCACAGUGGGCAAAA
This 75-nucleotide transfer RNA is filed under the name Podarcis lilfordi (Lilford's wall lizard). RNAcentral describes it as "tRNA.Lys". The stretch from base 7 to 64 matches the Rfam family "tRNA", at positions 8 to 63 of the family's 71-position model. Rfam says of the family: Transfer RNA (tRNA) molecules are approximately 80 nucleotides in length. Their secondary structure includes four short double-helical elements and three loops (D, anti-codon, and T loops). Further hydrogen bonds mediate the characteristic L-shaped molecular structure. tRNAs have two regions of fundamental functional importance: the anti-codon, which is responsible for specific mRNA codon recognition, and the 3' end, to which the tRNAs corresponding amino acid is attached (by aminoacyl-tRNA synthetases). tRNAs cope with the degeneracy of the genetic code in two manners: having more than one tRNA (with a specific anti-codon) for a particular amino acid; and 'wobble' base-pairing, i.e. permitting non-standard base-pairing at the 3rd anti-codon position. The record is from RNAcentral. Lineage: Eukaryota; Metazoa; Chordata; Lepidosauria; Squamata; Lacertidae.